AAGCGCUGAAGUAAGAGAGUGCGCCGGUAGGCAUUGUCUUACGGAGCUUUCAGGAGGGGUUGUGCAAUGAAACCUCAAACCGGCGUAGGCUAAGAAGCUGAAAGAAAAUGCUCUAA
This is a non-coding RNA of Dorea sp. 5-2, 116 nucleotides long. The record is from Rfam. NCBI's taxonomy places the organism in Bacteria, Bacillati, Bacillota, Clostridia, Lachnospirales, Lachnospiraceae.